AACGAACGCUGGCGGCAUGCCUAACACAUGCAAGUCGAACGCGACCUUCGGGUCUAGUGGCGCACGGGUUCGUAACGCAUGGGAACCUGCAUUUAGGUUCGGAAUAACCUCCAGUCAGGGGUGCUCAUACCGAAUAAUGUCUUAGGACCAAAGUGUCAUCGCCUUUGGAUGGGCCCUCGUUGGAUUGGUUUGUUGGUAGGGUAAAAGCCUACCAACGCGACGCUUCAUAGCUGGUUGGUGAGGUUGACCAGCCACACUGGGACUGCGACACGGCCCAGACUCCUACGGAGGGCAGCAGUGGGGAGUAUUAGACAAUGAACGAAGGCCUGAUCCAGCAGUGCGGCGGGAGUGAUGAAGGCCUUAGGGUUGUAAAUCUCUUUUACCCGGGAUGAUAAUGACAGUACCGGGAGAAUAAGCGCCGGCUAACUCCGUG
Molecule: ribosomal RNA, 433 nt
Filed under: uncultured bacterium
Lineage: Bacteria
Description: partial 16S ribosomal RNA
Rfam family: Bacterial small subunit ribosomal RNA
Source: RNAcentral